RNAcentral lists this unclassified non-coding RNA (156 nucleotides) under uncultured Mycosphaerellaceae. RNAcentral's name for it is "sequence contains ITS2". The record is from RNAcentral. Lineage: Eukaryota; Fungi; Ascomycota; Dothideomycetes; Mycosphaerellales; Mycosphaerellaceae.
CACCAAUCACGCCUGGCGUGGUAUUGGGCGACGGGGCCGUCACACGCCCCGCGCCCCAAUGACUCCCCGGCGGGACGGACCGUAUCUCAGCGUUGUGCAAACUGCCGCUGGCGAGACGGGCUCGGCCGUGCCGUGAAAACCCUCAAUUUUUAUUCA